UAAUUAUCAAACAGCCCAAUAAAAUGAAUAUAAUACUUAGAUAACUACUAAGUUGCAAAAACUUGUCAAACAUCGAGUUUCCACCGAACUUGUACGAAACCAUCUAAUGAUGGCGGCACUUUCGAGCAUCUGAGUUUUGAGACAGACCAAUCAGGUUCUAGCGCGAGACAAUGCUGACCAAUCCGCUGCGAGGAUUUGUUCGCGGCUUGUAGUUCACUGCUAAUGUCGGUAGAAGAAAAAUAGUUGCCCAAGACGUAAGCUACUAUGGAAAAUGGAAGCUCAGUUCUGGACAGUCCUGAGGACUUGGAUUGUUCCUCAGAUUCUGGUAGCAUCUUCGUUCCUCAGAAGCGACGUAAACAAGCAGUGGCUGGGUCCAAG
This is a long non-coding RNA of Fundulus heteroclitus (mummichog), 378 nucleotides long. RefSeq lists it as uncharacterized. The transcript has 3 exons. NCBI's taxonomy places the organism in Eukaryota, Metazoa, Chordata, Actinopteri, Cyprinodontiformes, Fundulidae. The record is from RefSeq and is a predicted model, not a curated record.